RNAcentral lists this ribosomal RNA (330 nucleotides) under uncultured eukaryote. RNAcentral describes it as "partial 18S ribosomal RNA". It matches the Rfam family "Eukaryotic small subunit ribosomal RNA", at positions 1470 to 1796 of the family's 1831-position model. The record is from RNAcentral.
CCCUUAGAUGUUCGGGGCCGCACGCGCGCUACACUGAAAGAAUCAGCUGGUAAGUUGCUCCUGGCUUGGAAACGUCGGGCAACCCGUUGAACCUCCUUCGUGCUUGGGAUUGGGGCUUGCAAUUAUUCCCCAUGAACGAGGAAUUCCCAGUAGGCGCGAGUCAUCAGCUCGCGUCGAUUACGUCCCUGCCCUUUGUACACACCGCCCGUCGCACCUACCGAUUGGAUGGUCCGGUGAAGCCUCGGGAUUGUGGUUCUUGCCGCUUUAUUGUGGCGUGACCGCGAGAACUUGUCUAAACCUUAUCAUCUAGAGGAAGGUGAAGUCGUAACA